Molecule: ribosomal RNA, 337 nt
Filed under: uncultured bacterium
Lineage: Bacteria
Description: bacterial SSU rRNA
Rfam family: Bacterial small subunit ribosomal RNA
Source: RNAcentral
UUCAUUUGACGUUUAGCUGCAGAAGAAGCACCGGCUAACUCCGUGCCAGCAGCCGCGGUAAUACGGAGGGUGCGAGGCGUUAAUCGGAAUUACUGGGCGUAAAGCGCAUGCAGGUGGUUUGUUAAGUCAGGAUGUGAAAGCCCGGGGCUCAAACCUCGGAAAUUGCAUUUUGAAAACUGGCAAACUAGAGUACUGUAGAGGGGGUAGAAUUUCAGGUGUAGCGGUGAAAAUGCGUAGAGAUCUGAAGGAAUACCGGUGGCGAAGGCGGCCCCCUGGACAGAUACUGACACUCAGAUGCGAAAGCGUGGGGAGCAAACAGGAUUAGAUACCCUGGUAG